CCUACGGGAGGCAGCAGUGAGGAAUAUUGGUCAAUGGACGAGAGUCUGAACCAGCCAAGUAGCGUGAAGGAUGACUGCCCUAUGGGUUGUAAACUUCUUUUAUAUGGGAAUAAAAUGUUCCACGUGUGGGAUUUUGUAUGUACCAUAUGAAUAAGGAUCGGCUAACUCCGUGCCAGCAGCCGCGGUAAUACGGAGGAUCCGAGCGUUAUCCGGAUUUAUUGGGUUUAAAGGGAGCGUAGGUGGAUUGUUAAGUCAGUUGUGAAAGUUUGCGGCUCAACCGUAAAAUUGCAGUUGAAACUGGCAGUCUUGAGUACAGUAGAGGUGGGCGGAAUUGGUGGUGUAGCGGUGAAAUGCUUAGAUAUCACGAAGAACUCCGAUUGCGAAGGCAGUUCACUGGACUGCAACUGACACUGAGGCUCGAAAGUGUGGGUAUCAAACAGGAUUAGAUACCCGUGUAGU
RNAcentral lists this ribosomal RNA (459 nucleotides) under uncultured bacterium. RNAcentral describes it as "partial 16S ribosomal RNA". It matches the Rfam family "Bacterial small subunit ribosomal RNA", at positions 338 to 794 of the family's 1533-position model. The record is from RNAcentral.